This 253-nucleotide ribosomal RNA is filed under the name uncultured bacterium. RNAcentral's name for it is "partial 16S ribosomal RNA". It matches the Rfam family "Bacterial small subunit ribosomal RNA", at positions 524 to 776 of the family's 1533-position model. The record is from RNAcentral.
UACGUAGGGUGCAAGCGUUGUCCGGAAUUAUUGGGCGUAAAGAGCUCGUAGGCGGUUUGUUGCGUCGGCUGUGAAAUCCCGAGGCUCAACCUCGGGUCUGCAGUCGAUACGAGCAAACUAGAGUGUUGCAGGGGAGACUGGAAUUCCAGGUGUAGCGGUGAAAUGCGUAGAUAUCUGGAGGAACACCGGUGGCGAAGGCGGCAUCCUGGACCGACACUGACGCUGAAGCGCGAAAGCUAGGGUAGCAAACGGG